RNAcentral lists this ribosomal RNA (314 nucleotides) under uncultured eukaryote. Its description in RNAcentral is "partial 18S ribosomal RNA". It matches the Rfam family "Eukaryotic small subunit ribosomal RNA", at positions 1470 to 1796 of the family's 1831-position model. The record is from RNAcentral.
CCCUUAGAUGUUCUGGGCCGCACGCGCGCUACACUGACGAAUGCAACGAGCUUAUAACCUUGGCCGAAAGGUCUGGGUAAUCUCCAAAUUUCGUCGUGAUGGGGAUAGAUUAUUGCAAUUAUUAAUCUUCAACGAGGAAUGCCUAGUAAGCGCAAGUCAUCAGCUUGCGUUGAUUACGUCCCUGCCCUUUGUACACACCGCCCGUCGCUCCUACCGAUUGAAUGGUCCGGUGAAGCCUCCGGAUUGGCGCGCACCUCGGUGCCGCCGAGAAGUUGGCUAAACCUUACCAUUUAGAGGAAGGUGAANUCGUANCA